GUAGGGUGCAAGCAUUGUCCGGAUUACUGGGCGUAAAGAGUUCUGUAGGCUGUUGUGUAAGUCAUGGGUAAAAGACCCCGGCCCAACCGGGGAAGCGCUCAUGAUACUGCAUAACUAGAGGAAGUUAGGGAACAGCGGAACAUAUGGAGGAGCGGUGAUAUGCGUUGAUCUCAUAUGGAACACCGAGGGGGUAGCCAGCUGUUUGGGACUUUCCUGACGCUAAGAGACGAAAGUGUGGGUAGCGAUACGGGAUUAGAUACCCGUGUAGUCCACACCGUAAACGAUGUCUGCUAGAUACUUGUAUUUAUAUGGGUGUCGAAGCUAACGCGUUAAGCAGACCGCCUGGGGAGUACGGUCGCAAGAUCA
Molecule: ribosomal RNA, 366 nt
Filed under: uncultured organism
Description: partial 16S ribosomal RNA
Rfam family: Bacterial small subunit ribosomal RNA
Source: RNAcentral